RNAcentral lists this long non-coding RNA (1521 nucleotides) under Numida meleagris (helmeted guineafowl). RNAcentral's name for it is "lncRNA (ENSNMEG00000014214.1)". The record is from RNAcentral. Lineage: Eukaryota; Metazoa; Chordata; Aves; Galliformes; Numididae.
UUCAGAGGCAACUUUGCACUUCCGCAGCUCCUUCAAGCUGUGACGGUAUGCACGGGGUCACGGGUGCUGGCUGAGUCCUACUUGCAUGCGGAAGAGGAAAUGUUGGCCACACGUGGCACGCAUAGCUCCAAGACCUGCUGUAAAUACAAAUGCCAGCUCUCAAGAUCAUCAGUCUAGGGUCUCUGGUAGCACCUGGCUGAUUCACAGUCUUAAAACUCUGCUAGCUGAUUGCAUACAGGUGAAGUUAGUCAUUCAACAGCUUGAACCUGCUGAAUAAUUGAAGUGGAAAUGCAGAUAUCUCCCAGCAUUCUGUGCUCUGGUCUAGGAAAAGAGAACAAAGAUGAAGGACUCCACUUUUCCAGGUGGUGGUAAGUAAGGCCAGGAGCUCCAUGAGCUUCAACUCAGUACAAAACCUCUCUCCCCAGCUUGGCCCUCUCAUAGCAGGUUUCCUUGGAUCUGUCUCUUUUUCCAGGGUGUCCCCACACCCACCCAAAUAAUUGGAUUGAUUUGCAAAGGGUUUGAAAGAAAGGAAACAGGUAAGACACUACUGCCAUUUCGAAGUCCUCAGUGACUGGUGUUGGAUGAGGAUAGGUGUAUCACUCAGGGGCAGGGAGCACACAAUUCCCCCGAUGCGAGUGUCUAUCUCUUAAUGGAUCCGUCUCAUUCAGGAGAAGAUUAAACCACCCACCUUAAAUUUUCAAAGCCUUGCAAAGAAAGGAUGAAGAAGCCCUCCCACAUGGUAGAUAAGCAUUGUCACAGGUGGUCAGAGGGGUGAAAAACGCUGUGUCUGAUCAUGACAUACAAUUGUGCCAAAGAUCUCCUGUGACUGUGAACCUACUGUGCUUGUGUUGUAAUCUUUCUGGGCAUUAUUGUUCUAGUGAGAAAAUUAUAUUUUCAUGAGUUCAUGGUUGUGUUUUAGAUUUAGAAUAUAGUUUUUUGAUCUGAGAGGCAUAAAAAAUUGAUAAAAUUGUUUAAGCUAUUGUUUUUUUAUGCACUGAUCAUAUUUGCCUCUGUGCAUUUGCUGUAUUGCUUUCAUAUUCUUUCAGUUUUCACACAUCUCUACAGUUCCUUCUGCAUGCAGCCAAAAAUAGCUGCAAGAUGAGCCUUUUUCUCAUUAUAUCGACACUUCUGUAUCCAUUUCAAUGAGGGGAAAAAACGGAAAAUUACACAAAAUCAGUGAGGACCACAGCUUUUCAGAGGCUUUCUUUUGGUUUAGUUUGGUCUUGGGCAGUUUUAGUUUAUAUCAUGCCAGGGUAGACUGAGGCUUUUUGCUGUCGCAAUAAGUGACUAGGAGAAGGAUUAUAAAGGCUGUUGAAUGGUGUGCUGCAAUCCGUGUUCCCAUCUCUCUUCCUGGGUGAUCUAUUUAAUUAUCUCGCGCUUCACUGGUUUAUCAGAUGAUGCUACUUACACUGCUGGCUAUGAGAAUAUGAUGUGCCUUCGACAAACAUGAAAUGCUUGCGAUUCUCAGGUGGAAGAUACAGCAUAAAUAAAGAAAUCUACCCACUUUAGAAGAAUGAACUU